RNAcentral lists this ribosomal RNA (301 nucleotides) under uncultured bacterium. RNAcentral's name for it is "partial 16S ribosomal RNA". It matches the Rfam family "Bacterial small subunit ribosomal RNA", at positions 509 to 807 of the family's 1533-position model. The record is from RNAcentral.
CAGCCGCCACGGUAAUACGGAGGGUGCAAGCGUUAAUCGGAUUUACUGGGCGUAAAGCGUGCGUAGGCGGCUUCUUAAGUCGGAUGUGAAAUCCCUGAGCUUAACUUAGGAAUUGCAUUCGAUACUGGGAAGCUAGAGUAUGGGAGAGGAUGGUAGAAUUCCAGGUGUAGCGGUGAAAUGCGUAGAGAUCUGGAGGAAUACCGAUGGCGAAGGCAGCCAUCUGGCCUAAUACUGACGCUGAGGUACGAAAGCAUGGGGAGCAAACAGGAUUAGAUACCCCUGUAGUCCCUGUCUCUUAUAC